UGGGGAAUCUUGCACAAUGGGCGAAAGCCUGAUGCAGCAACGCCGCGUGCGGGAAGACAGCCCUAGGGUUGUAAACCGCUUUCAGCAGGGAAGAAACUGACGGUACCUGCAGAAGAAGAUGCGGCCAACUACGUGCCAGCAGCCGCGGUGACACGUAGGCAUCAAGCGUUAUCCGGAUUUAUUGGGCGUAAAGAGCUCGUAGGCGGUUCGGUAAGUCGGGUGUGAAAACUCUGGGCUCAACCCAGAGAGGCCACUCGAUACUGCUGUGACUAGAGUGCGGUAGGGGAGCGGGGAAUUCCUGGUGUAGCGGUGAAAUGCGCAGAUAUCAGGAGGAACACCAGUGGCGAAGGCGCCGCUCUGGGCCGUAACUGACGCUGAGGAGCAGAAAGCAUGGGUAGCAAACAGGAUUAGAUACCCUGGUAGUCCACGCCGUAAACGAUGAGUGCUAGUCGUCGGCAGGCAUGCCUGUCGGUGACGCAGCUAACGCAUUAAGCACUCCGCCUGGGA
RNAcentral lists this ribosomal RNA (507 nucleotides) under uncultured bacterium. RNAcentral's name for it is "bacterial SSU rRNA". It matches the Rfam family "Bacterial small subunit ribosomal RNA", at positions 355 to 878 of the family's 1533-position model. The record is from RNAcentral.